CAAUGGGCGAAAGCCUGACGGAGCAAUGCCGCGUGUGGGAUGAAGGCCCUCGGGUUGUAAACCACUGUCAGUAGGGAGGAAAUUUUGACCGAUCUACAGAGGAAGUCCGGGCUAAGUACGUGCCAGCAGCCGCGGUAAUACGUACCGGACAAACGUUAUUCGGAAUCACUGGGCUUAAAGAGUACGUAGGCUGCCAUGUAGGUGAGAUGUGAAAUCCGACGGCCCAACCGUCGAACUGCGUUUCAAACCACAUGGCUUGAGGGAGACAGGGGUAAGCGGAACUCACAGUGGAGCGGUGAAAUGCGUUGAUAUUGUGAGGAACACCGGUGGCGAAGGCGGCUUACUGGGUCUUUUCUGACGCUGAGGUACGAAAGCUAGGGUAGCGAAAGGGAUUAGAUACCCUGUAGUCAAUCACUAGUG
This 420-nucleotide ribosomal RNA is filed under the name uncultured bacterium. Its description in RNAcentral is "bacterial SSU rRNA". It matches the Rfam family "Bacterial small subunit ribosomal RNA", at positions 369 to 807 of the family's 1533-position model. The record is from RNAcentral.